CCUACGGGGGGCAGCAGUGGGGAAUAUUGCACAAUGGGGGAAACCCUGAUGCAGCGACGCCGCGUGAGUGAAGAAGUAUUUCGGUACGUACAGCUCUAUCAGCAGGGAAGAAAAUGACGGUACCUGACUAAGAAGCCCCGGCUAACUACGUGCCAGCAGCCGCGGUAAUACGUAGGGGGCAAGCGUUAUCCGGAUUUACUGGGUGUAAAGGGAGCGUAGACGGCAGCGCAAGUCUGGAGUGAAAUCCCAUGGCUUAACCAUGGAACUGCUUUGGAAACUGUGCAGCUAGAGUGCAGGAGAGGUAAGCGGAAUUCCUAGUGUAGCGGUGAAAUGCGUAGAUAUUAGGAGGAACACCAGUGGCGAAGGCGGCUUACUGGACUGUAACUGACGUUGUGGCUCGAAAGCGUGGGGAGCAAACAGGAUUAGAUACCCCAGUAGUC
This 440-nucleotide ribosomal RNA is filed under the name uncultured bacterium. Its description in RNAcentral is "partial 16S ribosomal RNA". It matches the Rfam family "Bacterial small subunit ribosomal RNA", at positions 338 to 795 of the family's 1533-position model. The record is from RNAcentral.